ACCAACAUAACCUUAUCAGUAGGCGUAACUUGACCAAGACAAGACAGGAUUCAGUUUCUUAGUUUUACCGAUUUUGAUAAUACAGUAAUACUUAGUUUUGACUCUUGUUCAUUCAAGGUUUGAGUUUAAGGUUCCUGUCAAUUUUUCUGAUUAUUCAAAUGGCGCAGUUCAAGUUGAAGUUUCUUCUCUGCCUGGCGUUUUGCUUGUUUGCUGCCUGUUUGGGAACUCGAACUUGUAGAGAGAAAAAAGACUGACGAUGAACAACUUACGAUGUAUCUUGUAUUACUUUCACUCAGAGAUGGGCUAAGUUACUUUCAAUAAAUGCUUAAGUUUUA
Molecule: long non-coding RNA, 335 nt
Organism: Macrosteles quadrilineatus (aster leafhopper)
Lineage: Eukaryota; Metazoa; Arthropoda; Insecta; Hemiptera; Cicadellidae
Exons: 2
Source: RefSeq, a predicted model, not a curated record